Carassius gibelio (silver crucian carp) is the source of this 1021-nucleotide long non-coding RNA. RefSeq lists it as uncharacterized. The transcript is spliced from 3 exons. The record is from RefSeq and is a predicted model, not a curated record. Lineage: Eukaryota; Metazoa; Chordata; Actinopteri; Cypriniformes; Cyprinidae.
CAGCAGAGCCAUAUAGAGUGAGAGUUGCGACAACUCCAUUGACUCCAAUGGAACGCUUUUUUUACAGCAAUGGCGGCUCGUGGAGCCUCUCAAUAGUUCCCGGAAGUAGCAGCAAACCGAUGCCGCGCCGUAGAGAUGCAGCAGAACAAACCGUUCGCGACGCACUUUUAAAAGACCCAGGUAACUGGCUGAUGGUUCACUGGAAUGCUGACUGCUGCUGGUUGACUGGGCUGUGUCACCUGUCCCUGUCUCUCCUCUCUAGCCAUGUCCUUUUUCUUCACUCUCACUUUCCCUUCUCUGAGUAUCCUUGUUCUUUUUUCCUCAACCUUUGAAACUGAUAGAGAUCUAGGGGUGCAUCGUGGAGCAGGGCCCUCCUCUUUUUGACCACAGGAUGAUGUACAAAGAUUGUGGGAAUAGCAUCUGACCUCAGCCUACUCUUGAAUUUUUUGGUCAUUACAAAUUGCUUUGCCGCAAUUUGUCUGCAUACUGACUUCAGUUUAGUUUACACACACACCUUUUUUUUGUCUACCCACAUACAGUACAUAUCACAUGGUGGUUAAAUGCACAGUUAUAGGUAACACUGAUGACUCCCUGCAAUGUCUCACCAUGAGUCUCCCCUCCCUGGGUUUUGCAAGGCUUUGCUUAUUCCUUAUUUCUAGUAAAACAUUGUCAAUGUAAAAAAGUGCAAAUAAAUUUAAGUAUAAUUACCUAACAAUUUUUUGUUGUUGUAAUUUUUAUUAGUUUUUAGAUUGCUGACUUGAGCCAACCAUUAUUUUCUCCUCUCCAUGUCAGCGGGGAAGCCAUACAUUCGCACACCUUUCUCUGACUGAGUGGAGCAUCCCCAUGCAGCACAGUAAACCACGGUGGAGACUAUGCAAGGACAACAUUAAAGAAAGGACACAUACAAAAUGCUUGUCAUGCUAUUAAAUUUAUUAGAAAUGUAUUCAUGAAUUGCUGUAAAUAGUUUAUUGUAUAAUUACAAUUUAAAAUAACGGUUUUCUAUUUUAAAAUGGAAUAUACU